GGGGAUGUGGCUCAGGGUAGAGCUCUCGCCUAGCACGUGAGAGGCCCUGGGUUUGAAUCUCAGCACCA
RNAcentral lists this transfer RNA (68 nucleotides) under Marmota monax (woodchuck). It matches the Rfam family "tRNA". From Rfam's summary of the family: Transfer RNA (tRNA) molecules are approximately 80 nucleotides in length. Their secondary structure includes four short double-helical elements and three loops (D, anti-codon, and T loops). Lineage: Eukaryota; Metazoa; Chordata; Mammalia; Rodentia; Sciuridae. RNAcentral also lists the same sequence under 1 other name. The record is from Rfam by way of RNAcentral.